UCCCACUCUCCUUUUAUCUACUUACACUUCCUUUUGUUUUUUUUUUAAUAGUUUUUACUAUAACAAAAAAGGGAAUGUAAGUUGACAAAAGAGGAGUGGGAACAUACAAUUUCUAACAAAGGGAGUGUAAGUGGAUAAAAGAAGAGUGGGA
RNAcentral lists this microRNA precursor (151 nucleotides) under Prunus dulcis (almond). RNAcentral's name for it is "sRNA ncRNA". The record is from RNAcentral. Lineage: Eukaryota; Viridiplantae; Streptophyta; Magnoliopsida; Rosales; Rosaceae.